UUAAAUGCUGUUAUCAGAGACAGUGUCUUUCUGGGUGUUCAUGCUUUGCUCUGCAUGUGGACAGUGAAGUUUGUUUUAAAGGCAUAGAAGCUGCUCCUGUGUGCACGAGCAGGAAGUGAGUGUGCUUAUGCUGAUAGCUGACUCUCUGGAAGCCCAUUAACUACUGCUGAUCUGCAAGUGCCUGCAUGUGCGUGCUGAAGAAUUGUGUGAAAAGGAGACAGUAAUUGAGUACUCAUUGUGUGUGUCAGUGUAUGAGAGUAUUCAUUGAAUGUCAGUGAGUAUUGACGGUGUGUCAGUGAGUGAGAACUCACAGUGUGUGUAUUAGUGAGUGAAUAUUCACAGUUUGUCAGUGAUUGAGAGUAGUCAAACCAUGCCUUUUAUCUCUGUGUCGGGAGCAGAAGGCAGGUACAACUGCCAGAUUGAAGGACUCAUUCCCUCGCUCUUGUACUCGUCUGAGUGUUUGAUGUGAGUGUUUUUAUGUACACGCUGUCCUGCACAGCUGCAUUGCUAAGGGGCGUGGAGCUCAGAUGCACUGUUUUUCUCGCCAAAGCAGCCUGUGUGGUCAUGCCAUGCUGACCAUCCAUGCCCAGAGACAGACUGAUAAGUAAAGGUCCGGGGGGUCAUGCCAUGCCGACAGUCCACACUCAGAGACCUGCUUAACAUGCUUACCAGGGCGCUAUACAAGCUGUCCUUCAGCCACAGCUGAGACACAUUCCCAGUUUGCAGUCCGUCUUCCUCGAACCGCCUUUGUCUAUUUUCAGUUUUGUUUAGUUUUUGGUAUUUUUGGAAGAUGUUCCUCAUAGUGGUAAUUUCAGCACUGUGGUUUAUGGUUUAUGUAUGUGUGUUACAACCCUGUUUCCAAAAAAAAUUGAAUGCUGUGUAAAAUAUAAAUAAAAACAGAAUGCAGUGAUUUACAAAUCAUAAAAAUCUAUAUUUAAUUGAAAAUAGAACAAAGACAUCAAAUGUUGUAACAGAAAUUUUACUGUUUUAUGACAAAUAUAUGCUCAAUUUGAAUUUGAUGCCAGCAACACGUUUUAAAAAAGUUGAGACAGGGGCAACAAACGACGGAGGCUCUUUUGUCUCCAGAACCACCUCAAUGGCCCCAGGUCUGUGUGCCUAGCUGAUGUAGAGAGCAGUAGGUCUGUCUGCCUAGCUGAUGUAGAGUGCAGUAGGUCUGUUUGCCUAGCUGAUGUAGAGUGCAGUAGGUCUGUUUGCCUAGCUGAUGUAGAGAGCAGUAGGUCUGUUUGCCUAGCCGAUGUAGAGAGUAGUAGGUCUGUUUGCCUAGCUGAUGUAGAGUGCAGUAGGUCUGUCUGCCUAGCCGAUGUAGAGAGUAGUAGGUCUAUUUGCCUAGCUGAUGUAGAGUGCAGUAGGUCUGUCUGCCUAGCCGAUAUAAAGAGUAGUAGGUCUGUUUGCCUAGCCGAUGUAGAGUGCAGUAGAUCUGUCUGCCUAGCCGAUGUAGAGUGAGUAGGUCUGUCUGCCUAGCCGAUGUAGAGUGCAGUAGGUCUGUCUGCCUAGCCGAUGUAGAGUGCAGUAGGUCUGUCUGCCUAGCCGAUGUAGAGAGUAGUAGGUCUGUCUGCCUAGCCGAUGUAGAGAAUAGUAGGUCUGUUUGCCUAGCCAAUGUAGAGUGCAGUAGGUCUGUCUGCCUAGCCAAUGUAGAGUGCAGUAGGUCUGUCUGCCUAGCCGACUUAGAGUAUAUUUGGGAAACUCAUGAAGGGCUACCGCUGGCUCAGCCAUGGGAGAGAUCCGUGAGAGAUAGGGAUCCCAAAGCUUAGUUCACAACUGACCCAGGGGACUGGAAUCUGGGGGAGUAUGAAACCUGCUGGUGACAGCUGUUUGUGUCCUUGUCACAGUGCUGGCACCUUUGUCUCUGAGCGCUGCCAGAGAGAGGGGAGGUGUCCCUGGCACGCAGCUCCAUGUGGCACUCUGCCUGUUGUGGAGUGUUUAGUGUCAUGAUGUGUUUGUGUUUGGGGACUCGUCCAUGCUGCACACAUCCAGGGUUGGUGUAGCACCGUGUCACUGGGUCAAGCGUUGAUUUCUGUGAAUUUCUUUGAAGGCAGGAAGAACAACAUUUAAUAGCAAAGUGGGGGUGGGGGUCUUAUAAAACCACAGGGGCUUGUUUAUGGGGCUGGAGUUUUUUGUUGCUCUAGGUAUGAAGAUGCCACAAAUAACCUCUAGUAGCCCCUUCCUCUACUGCUGCCUGUGGUGUGGUGUCAUAAAGGACGAUGCCACUGGUUUGGAAGUGCGCCUGCUAUUUUGAAAUUUUACUGGAAUCUUGUAUCCUGGAGCAGCCGAUAAGUGGGCCGGCAUCCAUUUUGGGGAGACAGCCCAGUGAGGCGCCUCGUGAGCAGAUUUCUGGUCCUUCAUGCUUAUCGAGGCCUGAUAUACACCCUAUUCCUGGGGUAGCACAUUCCUUCCAGCUGAGGCUUCCAGUUGGCCUCUGAAGUAGGCAGAGAUUAGAUUGCGGCCUGUCCAACAGGCUAAACUGGGAGCCAGUGGUGGAGACGGCCUUCAAGGAAGCAUGUUGCAGCUUGAAGGACAUGCUGACAGUCUUCUGAGAUCUUGGCUAGCUGGGAAGAGCAGGCCUCAGUGUGCUCCACUCGCAUCUCUUACAGUCUACUUUCUGGCCUAUAUUCUAAACGGUAGACUGGCAUUCAUAUAAUGUGAUUCCGAUUUGCUGAAUGAGGAUGACGGCUGACCAUCUUCUGACCACUUAUUCAGGGUUGCCGGGAGACCUGAAUCCCAUCCACAAGGCAAAUGAACAUCGUGGAUGGGAUGUGCACCCGGAACACGUCACAGAGAAGCACACACAUUUUCUGCAAAUCUCAGAGCAUGGCAGUCCCAUUGUCUCAUUGCUUCAGUCGGCUGUGUUUGUUUAACUGCUCUGAGGAUAUGGUUUGUGGGAUUAGUGACCUUGAGCAAAGCAGUGUGCACUGACCUUGGCCUCAUUGUGCUGCUCUCAGCCGCUCUGCUUAAGACAGCAUUACAGCCUUCGGUUCGAUCGAUAGCUCAGUGCACAGAAGAGGAAGAAGGUAGUCGAUGGAAGCUUAAUGGC
Long non-coding RNA from Brienomyrus brachyistius, 3052 nucleotides. RefSeq lists it as uncharacterized. NCBI's taxonomy places the organism in Eukaryota, Metazoa, Chordata, Actinopteri, Osteoglossiformes, Mormyridae. The record is from RefSeq and is a predicted model, not a curated record. The transcript has 3 exons.